Molecule: non-coding RNA, 777 nt
Filed under: Nepsalus caelestis
Lineage: Eukaryota; Metazoa; Arthropoda; Insecta; Neuroptera; Myrmeleontidae
Source: RNAcentral
UUAAAGUUUGAUUUUGGCUUUUGUUUUACUAAUUCUUUAUUUUACAUGUAAGUUUUUGCGUGAUUUUAUAAAAUUUUAAAAAUAUUUAUUAUUUAUUCGCAGUAUUUUAUUUUAAUUUUGAAAGUUAUUUCGAUUUGGUAAAAGUUUAAGUUCAGAAUAAACUUGUGCCAGCAUUCGCGGUUAUACAAGUUGUGCAAGUAAAAAUUUUUGGUUAGUAGUGAGUUUUAUUUUAGUUAAAUUAAUUAAUUAAUAUUAUAGGUGAAAUUUUAAGUUGUUGUUAUAUUUUUAUUAUUUAAAUGAAUCUGCGAAAUUUUUUAUUUAGAGACUAGGAUUAGAUACCCUAUUAUAAUAAAUGUGGAUAUAAACCUGGGUAGUAAUAGAUAUGAUCUUGAAACCUAAAAAAUUUGGCGGUGCUUUAAUCUAUUUAGAGGAACCUGUUCCGUGAUCGAUAGUCCACGAUAAAUUUUACUUGAUUUUGUUUAACUUAUAUACCGUUGUUAUCAGAAUAUUUUAUAAGAAAAUAAUUUUCUUCAUUUUUUAUAAAAAUUUAUUUCAGAUCAAGGUGUAGUUUAUAAUUAAGAGGUAAUGGGUUACAAUAAAUUUAUUUAAAUGGCAAUAAAUUUGUAAAAUUUUAUUAAAGGUGGAUUUAAUAGUAAAAUUUAAAUAUAUAUUUUGGUUGAUAAAGGCUCUAAAGCAUGCACAUAUCGCCCGUCGCUCUUUUUAAUUAAAGAUAAGUCGUAACAUAGUAGAUGUACUGGAAAGUGUAUCUAGAAUGCA